RNAcentral lists this ribosomal RNA (105 nucleotides) under Lepisosteus oculatus (spotted gar). The record is from RNAcentral. Lineage: Eukaryota; Metazoa; Chordata; Actinopteri; Semionotiformes; Lepisosteidae.
ACAAGCAGCCAUAUCACUCUACAACUCACUGAAGCCAAGUAGGUGUGAGCCUGGUCAGUACUUGGAUGGGAGACCUCCUGGAAAAAACUAAGGUUGCUGCUGGAA